Long non-coding RNA from Etheostoma spectabile (orangethroat darter), 254 nucleotides. RefSeq lists it as uncharacterized. The record is from RefSeq and is a predicted model, not a curated record. The transcript is spliced from 3 exons. NCBI's taxonomy places the organism in Eukaryota, Metazoa, Chordata, Actinopteri, Perciformes, Percidae.
ACAACAAAACCUACAUCCUUCACAACCGGGAUGCUAUGUGUGCUGGUUUCUUUCAGCCAUUGCCUCCAACCAGUUGCGUUGUGGAUAAUGCUGUUACACACUGUGUACGGCUUUUGCCUAUUGAGAUGCCUGUCCAAAUCUGUCGCUGUCCACCAGAGGCAUUGAGGGUCAUCCAAGGAAAGGCAGUUGCUUUGGUCACAAUAAAUGGACGGUAUGAUCUCAACAUGCCAGAGCUAAGCUGCGAGGGAUGCCAG